This 210-nucleotide ribosomal RNA is filed under the name uncultured bacterium. Its description in RNAcentral is "partial 16S ribosomal RNA". It matches the Rfam family "Bacterial small subunit ribosomal RNA", at positions 524 to 730 of the family's 1533-position model. The record is from RNAcentral.
UACGUAGGGUGCGAGCGUUAAUCGGAAUUACUGGGCGUAAAGCGUGCGCAGGCGGUUAUAUAAGACAGAUGUGAAAUCCCCGGGCUCAACCUGGGAACUGCAUUUAGUGACUGUCAAGGCUAGGAGUACGGCAGAGGGGGAGUGGAAUUCCACGUGUAGCAGUGAAAUGCGUAGAGAUGUGGAGGAACACCGAUGGCGAAGGCAGCCCCU